Syzygium oleosum is the source of this 377-nucleotide long non-coding RNA. RefSeq lists it as uncharacterized. The transcript has 2 exons. Lineage: Eukaryota; Viridiplantae; Streptophyta; Magnoliopsida; Myrtales; Myrtaceae. The record is from RefSeq and is a predicted model, not a curated record.
GAAGUUGGAAUACCGGCCAUAUGCUUUUGCAUGCCACUUGUUUCGAUUCGAGUUGGCAAGAUAGACAAGCAAGGGACUCUUCUUUGCCCCACAUCAACAAGGUGAAGUGGGCGUAUCUUAUUAUGAUCUCUGAAUUAAGGGGGAGUCAAGGUAGUUUCAUGCUCCUAUAUUAUCUUGUCGACUGUUGCUUUUUGAAUGUAUAUAGGAUCUGAAUUCAACAAGUAGAAAAUGUUAGUGACUAUUUUUGUUCUUAUGCUUGUCAUUUAGGUAGGUCUCGUGACGCUGUAAUUCUGAUCUCAUUAAGUUCUCUUCAGUCAAUUGGUUGUUAUUGUUUGCAUUUGACAAUUAAUAGUUAUGUGAACUGACUUUUUAUAUUA